UGGGGAAUUUUGGACAAUGGGGGAAACCCUGAUCCAGCCAUCCCGCGUGUGCGAUGAAGGCCUUCGGGUUGUAAAGCACUUUUGGCAGGAAAGAAACGUCGCGGGUUAAUACCCCGCGGAACUGACGGUACCUGCAGAAUAAGCACCGGCUAACUACGUGCCAGCAGCCGCGGUAAUACGUAGGGUGCAAGCGUUAAUCGGAAUUACUGGGCGUAAAGCGUGCGCAGGCGGUUCGGAAAGAAAGAUGUGAAAUCCCAGAGCUUAACUUUGGAACUGCAUUUUUAACUACCGGGCUAGAGUGUGUCAGAGGGAGGUGGAAUUCCGCGUGUAGCAGUGAAAUGCGUAGAUAUGCGGAGGAACACCGAUGGCGAAGGCAGCCUCCUGGGAUAACACUGACGCUCAUGCACGAAAGCGUGGGGAGCAAACAGGAUUAGAUACCCUGGUAGUCCACGCCCUAAACGAUGUCAACUAGCUGUUGGGGUCUUCGGACCUUGGUAGCGCAGCUAACGCGUGAAGUUGACCGCCUGGGGAGUACGGUCGCAAGAUUAAAACUCAAAUGAAUUGACGGGGUC
RNAcentral lists this ribosomal RNA (572 nucleotides) under uncultured bacterium. RNAcentral's name for it is "partial 16S ribosomal RNA". It matches the Rfam family "Bacterial small subunit ribosomal RNA", at positions 355 to 920 of the family's 1533-position model. The record is from RNAcentral.